RNAcentral lists this ribosomal RNA (460 nucleotides) under uncultured bacterium. RNAcentral's name for it is "partial 16S ribosomal RNA". It matches the Rfam family "Bacterial small subunit ribosomal RNA", at positions 338 to 795 of the family's 1533-position model. The record is from RNAcentral.
CCUACGGGAGGCAGCAGUGAGGAAUAUUGGUCAAUGGACGAGAGUCUGAACCAGCCAAGUAGCGUGAAGGAUGAAUGCCCUAUGGGUUGUAAACUUCUUUUAUAUGGGAAUAAAAUGUUCCACGUGUGGGAUUUUGUAUGUACCAUAUGAAUAAGGAUCGGCUAACUCCGUGCCAGCAGCCGCGGUAAUACGGAGGAUCCGAGCGUUAUCCGGUUUUAUUGGGUUUAAAGGGAGCGUAGGUGGAUUGUUAAGUCAGUUGUGAAAGUUUGCGGCUCAACCGUAAAAUUGCAGUUGAAACUGGCAGUCUUGAGUACAGUAGAGGUGGGCGGAAUUCGUGGUGUAGCGGUGAAAUGCUUAGAUAUCACGAAGAACUCCGAUUGCGAAGGCAGUUCACUGGACUGCAACUGACACUGAGGCUCGAAAGUGUGGGUAUCAAACAGGAUUAGAUACCCGGGUAGUC